UCCCUUGCCGGUCCGGCUGCUUUCCUCCCCCUUUUCCCCGCCCGACCUCCCCCUCCUUCCCCCGCGGGCCCCCUCCCCGCAGGGAUAAUAUGGUCUCCGGCGAUGGACGCCCCAAGUGCAGGAUAUGCCUUUGAGUACCUUAUUGAAACAUUAAAUGACAGUUCACAUAAGAAGUUCUUCAAUGUACCUAGACUUGGAGGCACCAAGUAUGGUGAACAGUGCCACUAUCCUUUGAAUAGGAAUCAUCAGCAGGGCCCACUGAUUUGAGUUGUUGACCAGGGCAUGGUUUGCCCUGGCUUGUGCCCUGACACUCUUGGCAGACCUUUGCAGGCGCCUGACCAGGAUCAAACCUUUCACUGAGGUUUCAGAAGAGUGAACUUGGCGGAACCCCAGAGUAUUGGAUGGAAGUCUUUAUUGACAACUAAGUAAUUUUCUCAACCAGGCUGGUGAAGGGAAGGCCUGUUUGGAAGAGUGAUUUAGAUUAUUCUUUUCUGACUUUUCAGUGAAAAGAAAAAUUAAAUGCCAAAUCUGUUGCAGUUUUGGAGGGAGCUUUUCCUUAACCUUGGU
Physeter macrocephalus (sperm whale) is the source of this 567-nucleotide long non-coding RNA. RefSeq lists it as uncharacterized. NCBI's taxonomy places the organism in Eukaryota, Metazoa, Chordata, Mammalia, Artiodactyla, Physeteridae. The transcript is spliced from 3 exons. The record is from RefSeq and is a predicted model, not a curated record.